This is a non-coding RNA of Marmota flaviventris (yellow-bellied marmot), 885 nucleotides long. NCBI's taxonomy places the organism in Eukaryota, Metazoa, Chordata, Mammalia, Rodentia, Sciuridae. The record is from RefSeq and is a predicted model, not a curated record.
GGGCAGCUGCCUCUGUGCGCGAGGGCGGGAGCCCCAGAACCCGCGGAGGGUCCCCGCGGCAGCGGGUGGGAUGAGGCGCCGCACAAUGGGGCAUUGAGGGCGGCCUGCGGGCCAGGGCUGCUCCCGCCAGCUGAUGCUGAUGUCAUCUUCCGCCAGGAGUCCCUCCCGUGGACCUGACAGAUGCCCCAGGAAGCUACGGAGGAGCCAGAGGAAGCCCAGGCCCCGACCCAGGGUCUACGCAGCGAGGAGGCCAGGCAGCGCCCCAGGUCCCCGGCACACGUGGUCAGGGCCAGCAGAGCGCAGACGGCAAGCCUGAGGGGGACUGCAGGUGGCUGCAGAAGACAGGACAGGACAGGGAAGAGCCCAGCAAGGCCUCCAGGGGACAGAGGCAGCUGCGCUCAGCCCGUGCCCUGCAGGGUCCUGGUGGCCAGCUGGCCCCCUGCAGAGAGGAGGCAGCCUCCUGAGCCGCCCCAGGGCAGCAGGGCCCCGGCCACGCAAGCCCAGUCAGGGCCUUGAACUUUAUCCCAGGGCUGAGGACCCUGCAUGUGACAAGGACGAGGCCAUUGCUGCUUUAGAAGCUUCCAGCUUCCGAGUGGAAGUGUCCGGGGUGGCAGGUGGGAGGAGGCUCAAGGCUGUCCUGGCGGGAGACGAAGGGUGACCCGCCAGGGACAGGACCUCAGCAGCCCGUCUCCCAGCUGCUCUCCAGAAAGGCCCUUCUGAGACGUGCAGGGGGUGCCGUGGGGCAGGACGGGCCUACUCCUGCCUGAGUCCCGGACGCUUCCAGCACCCUGCCACUGCCCCGAGACCCAGUCCCGUGGCCACCUGGACUCCGUAGACAUCAGAACCUGACCAUGUUGGAUUCCCUCCCUCUGUCUCCAGCACUCA